AAAAAUUAGUUAAUAAAUAACGUAAAAUUGUCAAUUUUAAAUUACUAAAAUACUAGUAUUUUUCU
This 65-nucleotide transfer RNA is filed under the name Chtenopteryx sicula. Its description in RNAcentral is "tRNA-Asp". Lineage: Eukaryota; Metazoa; Mollusca; Cephalopoda; Oegopsida; Chtenopterygidae. The record is from RNAcentral.